RNAcentral lists this long non-coding RNA (451 nucleotides) under Heterocephalus glaber (naked mole-rat). Its description in RNAcentral is "lncRNA (ENSHGLG00100037305.1)". The record is from RNAcentral. Lineage: Eukaryota; Metazoa; Chordata; Mammalia; Rodentia; Bathyergidae.
GGAAAGUAAGACUUUCUGGAGGUUUUCUAUUUGCCUUUUUAGAUCCACUCCCACCUCCCACCCUGCUCUCGGCCCUGUGACCCUGACUGUGUGGCCCACUUUUCCAUCUACACUGGUCUUGGCCAUGGGACACCAGCAGGAGAUCAGAGGGAGUGGGGUGUGGUCAAGAGAUCACUUUGGAAAGGCUGCGUCCAUCCAUAGAGGACACCACCCUUCUUCAGAUGACCUCCGCAAGACUCUUUGUAGAUAGGGCCUGAGGGACCUUCCUAAAUCAAAGUCUCUCAUCACUCUCCAUUAUUUGUGUCAUAGCUGGAACUGUGUCCUCCAAAAUGCAGAAAUGUUUAUUCCUUCAAAAAACACAUUUGCUAAGUGGGACAAUGUGGAUGGAACACUCAGACCUUUGAAGAGGCUGAGAAUCAACUGGCAGAAAAUUAACAAUGAGAAAAGCUGG